This 484-nucleotide ribosomal RNA is filed under the name uncultured bacterium. RNAcentral's name for it is "bacterial SSU rRNA". It matches the Rfam family "Bacterial small subunit ribosomal RNA", at positions 21 to 507 of the family's 1533-position model. The record is from RNAcentral.
GGCUCAGGAUGAACGCUAGCGGCAGGCUUAACACAUGCAAGUCGAGGGGUAUUGGUUUUCGGACCAAGAGACCGGCGCACGGGUGCGUAACGCGUAUGCAAUCUACCUUUGCAGAGGGAUAGCCCAGAGAAAUUUGGAUUAAUACCUCAUAGUAUAGUACUUUGGCAUCAAGGAACUAUUAAAGUCACAACGGCAAAAGAUGAGCAUGCGUCCCAUUAGUUAGUUGGUAAGGUAACGGCUUACCAAGACAAUGAUGGGUAGGGGUCCUGAGAGGGAGAUCCCCCACACUGGUACUGAGACACGGACCAGACUCCUACGGGAGGCAGCAGUGAGGAAUAUUGGUCAAUGGGCGCAAGCCUGAACCAGCCAUGCCGCGUGCAGGAAGACGGUCCUAUGGAUUGUAAACUGCUUUUAUACAGGAAGAAACCCUCCCACGUGUGGGAGCUUGACGGUACUGUAGGAAUAAGGAUCGGCUAACUCCGUG